Molecule: transfer-messenger RNA, 365 nt
Filed under: Coriobacteriaceae bacterium
Lineage: Bacteria; Bacillati; Actinomycetota; Coriobacteriia; Coriobacteriales; Coriobacteriaceae
Also listed under: 3 other names
Rfam family: transfer-messenger RNA
About the family: Bacterial tmRNA, also known as 10Sa RNA or SsrA, is named for its dual tRNA and mRNA-like properties. Its role is to liberate the mRNA from a stalled ribosome.
Source: RNAcentral
GGGGGUGACUGGUUUCGACAAGGUGGGUCUGAGAUGGGCAGCAGGCCGUGGUCUCCUCGCCACGCUAAACAGGGGUACCGUCAAAUUGAAUUGACGACAACAACUCUUUUGAGCCUCUGGCUCUCGCUGCUUAAUUAAAUAGCGGCGCGUCAAACUGGGGAUUGCUCCCGUUCCCAGGGCGACGUCAUUUAGGGAGAUGCUCGCGCGGACGUGGCUGGUAUGCCGCGCGAUAAGACUGAACCGGCUGGGUUGCCAAGCGCGGGUUACCGGGUGCGCGGCAGCUGAGACCUAACCGGCAACUGAGCCUGGAGACACCUGUCAGGGACUUGCUUUGGACCGGAGUUCGAUUCUCCGCACCUCCACCA